UGGGGAAUAUUGGACAAUGGGCGAAAGCCUGAUCCAGCCAUGCCGCGUGUGUGAAGAAGGUCUUCGGAUUGUAAAGCACUUUAAGUUGGGAGGAAGGGCAGUAGCGAAUACCUUGGCGGUUUUACGGUACCGACAGGAUAAGCAACGGCUAACUCUGUUGCAGCAGCCGCGGUAAUACAGAGGGUGCAAGCGUUAAUCGGAAUUACUGGGCGUAAAGCGCGCGUAGGUGGUUCGUUAAGUUGAAUGUGAAAGCCCCGGGCUCAACCUGGGAACUGCAUCCAAACCGGGCGAGCUAGAGUAGGGCAGAGGGUGGUGGAAUUUCCUGUGUAGCGGUGAAAUGCGUAGAUAUAGGAAGGAACACCAGUGGCGAAGGCGACCACCUGGGCUCAUACUGACACUGAGGUGCGAAAGCGUGGGGAGCAAACAGG
RNAcentral lists this ribosomal RNA (428 nucleotides) under Pseudomonadota bacterium. RNAcentral describes it as "Proteobacteria bacterium partial 16S ribosomal RNA". It matches the Rfam family "Bacterial small subunit ribosomal RNA", at positions 355 to 776 of the family's 1533-position model. Lineage: Bacteria; Pseudomonadati; Pseudomonadota. The record is from RNAcentral.